GUGAUUCUACUGUAUUUUAUAUUUUAGCUAUUAUUCUAAAAAGUAACCAUUGCUUUUUGUACAUGAUUUUAGCUCUGAAAAUUUCCUGUCAGCAAGAAGUCAUUUCCCAGGUGGGAUUUUAGAGGAUCCUAAAUCAUGGGCCUUUGCUGUCAGCUGUCAUGAGAGGGGGAAGAAUUGAGGAAGUAGACAGCAGAUAAGGCUGGGAAAUAUAUUCUCUUUCUGAGAAAAAAAUAAUUUUCAGAGAUGGCAUCUUUCUAUGUUACCCAGUCUGCGGAUCAGUGGCAAUUCACUCUUCACAGCGACCAUGGCACUACUGAUCAGCACGAGACUCAGAGUUUCUUCUCAAAUGUACACUGAUAAAUACUCAACUGAAGAUUCAACUGAAAUCCUCUAUGGGUCUCCAGACUCCCCCAUUCUGGAACUCUUCCCUGCAAAUUCCAGCUGCCUAAACUCCCUUCCAUCUCUCAGUUUCUCUAUAACUGAGGAACACCGUCAGGCUCCAGCUGGAUUUUCCUUCCUUGUGCACUGAUCUGGAAAGUCUUUCACAUCAGUAAGUGAGGGAAAUCAUAGAGUUCUCCUGGAUAGAAGAGGCCCUGGUUAGCAGCUUCAGAUGAUGGAUACAUAAAAAUGGGAGAGAGAAAACAUAUAAGAGUGACUAAUUGUUGAGUUUCCAGGGCUCAAACCAAUCUUGAAUUGGAAUUUCAAGACAUAAAAACCACUGCAGGAACCUGCUGGAGAAACGGCCUCUGGUAUCUCUAUCUGAAAUAUGAUUAUCUUAAGUUCGCAAAGCAUUGUGUCUGCAGUGUGAGUUUGAAAACAACAAUGUUAAGGCAACUUCGCAGCUUCUUAAUCAAGCCCUUCUCCAUCUCUCCGUGUGGUUUUUGGGGUGGUGGAGGUGGAGCCAAAAAAGAGAGGGCAGUUUCCCAGGGCUGAAGAUGCUACCAUGACUCAUAGGAUCUAUGCAAACCCUGUGAGUGAAUUCUGAGGAAGAAGAAUGAGUAAUAUUUUGAUUUUAUUACUGAUGGUAAUAAGAUAGUAUCAUCAGUGUGGUAUAUUCUGAUUACUGAAUUCUAUUCCCUAUUUUCUUCCUGUGGCCAAAUAAAAUUUGUGUGUGUAAGCUAUGAUAUUUAGUGUUGUUAUCUGAUGAGACAGGUUUAGUGGAAAAGUUCAUUUUAAAUAAACAUUAAAAUUGUUUCAGCCUCAGAUUUUUAAUCCAAAUCAUUCCUUUGACACCAGAAGAAUUUUCCUCAGAGUCAACUCCAAAGAUAAAGCUGCCUGUUUUCCUAUUUGCCCAGAAGUAAAGAGGUUGCAAAA
This 1314-nucleotide long non-coding RNA is filed under the name Homo sapiens (human). RNAcentral describes it as "HSALNT0119257". Lineage: Eukaryota; Metazoa; Chordata; Mammalia; Primates; Hominidae. The record is from RNAcentral.